This 71-nucleotide microRNA precursor is filed under the name Erinaceus europaeus (western European hedgehog). RNAcentral describes it as "miRNA (ENSEEUG00000022682.1)". Lineage: Eukaryota; Metazoa; Chordata; Mammalia; Eulipotyphla; Erinaceidae. The record is from RNAcentral.
UUUUGUUAACAGUGCAGAUUCUCACUCUGGGGUCUGGGAUAGAGCUAGGAUUCUGCAUUUUUAACAAGCUC